AUGGCGUUAGUCUGGCCGUGUUCUCCUGCCGACCCAGGAUGGCUCCUGGCACCGAUGGGAAGGGUGUCAUGGCUGGUUGUGGCCCACAGCCACCAGGGAUGGUCACGGAACAGCAGGGAUGCUCAGCAGACACCAGGGAUGCUGGUGGAACUUCCACACCAGGGAUGCUCAGCAGACACCAGAGAUGCUCGUGGAACUUCCACACUAGGGAUGCUCAUGGGACACCAGGGAUGCUCUUGGAACUUCUGCACCAGGGAUGCUCAGCAGACACCAGGGAUGCUCGUGGGACACUGGGGAUGCUGGUGGAACUUCCACACCAGGGAUGCUCAGCAGACACCAGGGAUGCUCGUGGGACACUGGGGAUGCUGGUGGAACUUCCACACCAGGGAUGCUCAGCAGACACCAGGGAUGCUCAUGGAUCUUCCACACCAAGGAUGCUCGUGGGACACCAGGGGAUGCUGGUGGAACUUCCACACCAGGGAUGCACAGCAGGGGUGUUUAUGCCAAGUUUUGGGGCGAAAUUAAACUUUUUUUUUUCCUAAAUGGUCUAAACAAUCCAUGAAAAAUGUAUCUUUUACGUAACUUUACAUUAAAUGACCUUUAAAUUCAACACCAGCACUACAGUACUGCCAUAAAGUACUUGCAAAGUUUUGCAGGAGGAUUUUGGCGGAGUUUGGGCUGACCUCCCCGCCUGCUCUUGGGACAGCCGCUGCGUCAAGAAGCCCUUUGGCUUUUCCAUCUGGCAGCAAGAAUGGAUUCCAGCAUAUUCCUCCGGGAUGCUGGGAUGCAGCAGGAGGUGGUGGCCGGGGAGAUGCCACCAG
This 821-nucleotide long non-coding RNA is filed under the name Calidris pugnax (ruff). RNAcentral describes it as "lncRNA (ENSCPUG00000019080.1)". The record is from RNAcentral. Lineage: Eukaryota; Metazoa; Chordata; Aves; Charadriiformes; Scolopacidae.